GUGUCAGCAGCCGCGGUAAUACGUAGGAUCCAAGCGUUAUCCGGAAUUACUGGGCGUAAAGCGUACGUAGGUGGAGAUUUAAGUGAGAUGCGAAAUCUGGCGGCUCAACCGUCUAGACUGUGUCUCAUACUGGGUUUCUUGAGGUUGGCAGAGGCAAGUGGAAUUUCCGGUGUAGCAGUGAAAUGCGUAGAGAUCGGAAGGAACACCAAUGGCGAAGGCAGCUUGCUGGGCCACACCUGACACUGAGGUACGAAAGCGUGGGGAGCGAACAGGAUUAGAUACCCCGGUAGUCC
RNAcentral lists this ribosomal RNA (293 nucleotides) under uncultured bacterium. RNAcentral describes it as "partial 16S ribosomal RNA". It matches the Rfam family "Bacterial small subunit ribosomal RNA", at positions 505 to 796 of the family's 1533-position model. The record is from RNAcentral.